AUAAACUAGUUGAAGGGUUUAGUAAAUUAAUUUUACAAAUUAAACUCAUAAACCAUAGGUUAAA
RNAcentral lists this transfer RNA (64 nucleotides) under Thaumamermis cosgrovei. Its description in RNAcentral is "tRNA-Val". The record is from RNAcentral. Lineage: Eukaryota; Metazoa; Nematoda; Enoplea; Mermithida; Mermithidae.